GUCAUCAUACACAUCACUGUACAGAAGAAAUCUGUCUGGAGGAAAUACAGCGUUUGCUGACCAGAUGAAUCACUAGAGAAGAAGGUGUAAUGCGCAGGAAGGUGUGGUGAGCCAUAUCCAGGUCUCAAAGUGGUGGGCCUCUACUGGGAGUCAGGAAGAGUGAGGCACACAUGGCCCAGAUGGGAGUGAGACCUGCCAUUGCAGCCUUCUGGACUCCCAGCCAUGUGGAAUUGUCAGAAAAGCGUUGCAGCAUGUUCAUCACAGGACACUUCAUCGUUGCAGCAUGUUUGGAGGAGAAUGCUUCAUUGUUUAAUGUGCGUUUAUAUGCUGGUCUCUCUUUGCAUCUCUCAUCCAUCCCUCUGCCUCCCUUCUCCUCUGAUGUUUGGCCUGUGCUUACACCCUCCGUCCCCUCUGUGUGAUGUCUGGCUUCCCUGCACCAACAUUUGGAGUUCAUUAGAUCACAGUUAUGCUCUGUACCCACCCGUGAGAAUAAGGACACACACGCACAUGCCCAAAAUAUGCUUACAGGAUAUGUAGUAUGCAUGUUAAAUCUAAACCCAUUGCUGAAACCUAAAUUUGCUUAUGGA
Molecule: long non-coding RNA, 587 nt
Organism: Electrophorus electricus (electric eel)
Lineage: Eukaryota; Metazoa; Chordata; Actinopteri; Gymnotiformes; Gymnotidae
Source: RefSeq, a predicted model, not a curated record